CACGGAGGAGGAGGUCAGAAGCCUAACGAGUUAUGGAAAAGAAAAGACAAAGCAUAUUAGUGUAAAUAUUCACUGGCAGUCAAGACUAUUCCAGCUGGAGGGGAAAGUGUACUGAUGCUGGCAAGACACCACAUCGCUGAGGUUGAUGGGGUGAAACGGCCACAUCCACGUCGACAUCGUUGUUGAACCUGUGAGGAUUCGGCACUAAGAGGGUCUGUUGUGAAUCAUUUCCUUACCUCAUGGCCAGAGUGCAGGACUGGAAAUGGGAUCCAUGGACAAAGGCAGAGCUCACCUAGGGGCUGCUUUGACCUCCUGAAGAAGAGAAGCAGCACUCCGUCCUGUUGCUUGGCCCAGGGUUGCCCCCAGCCAGCUCUAUCUUGGAAACCCCAGUGUGAUUCCUAUCAGAAAUCCAACAAUCAUAACAAUUCCACCACAAAGUAAAAUCUCUUCUCCUUUUUCUUUUUUUUUCAUUUACAUGAAAUAUAAAAGGGUAAUAAUGUUAGUAUUCCUU
Molecule: long non-coding RNA, 511 nt
Filed under: Chinchilla lanigera (long-tailed chinchilla)
Lineage: Eukaryota; Metazoa; Chordata; Mammalia; Rodentia; Chinchillidae
Description: lncRNA (ENSCLAG00000026715.1)
Source: RNAcentral